Molecule: ribosomal RNA, 478 nt
Filed under: uncultured bacterium
Lineage: Bacteria
Description: partial 16S ribosomal RNA
Rfam family: Bacterial small subunit ribosomal RNA
Source: RNAcentral
GACGAACGCUGGCGGCGUGCUUAACACAUGCAAGUCGAACGGUAAGGCCCUUCGGGGUACACGAGUGGCGAACGGGUGAGUAACACGUGGGUGAUCUGCCCUGCACUUCGGGAUAAGCCUGGGAAACUGGGUCUAAUACCGGAUAGGACCACUGCCUGCAUGGGUGGUGGUGGAAAGCUUUUGCGGUGUGGGAUGGGCCCGCGGCCUAUCAGCUUGUUGGUGGGGUGAUGGCCUACCAAGGCGACGACGGGUAGCCGGCCUGAGAGGGUGACCGGCCACACUGGGACUGAGAGACGGCUCAGACUCCUACGGGAGGCAGCAGUGGGGAAUAUUGCACAAUGGGCGCAAGCCUGAUGCAGCGACGCCGCGUGAGGGAUGACGGCCUUCGGGUUGUAAACCUCUUUCAGCACCGACGAAGCGCAAGUGACGGUAGGUGCAGAAGAAGGACCGGCCAACUACGUGCCAGCAGCCGCCGUAA